RNAcentral lists this small RNA (131 nucleotides) under bovine gut metagenome. RNAcentral describes it as "RT-5 RNA". It matches the Rfam family "RT-5 RNA". From Rfam's summary of the family: Clostridium (Firmicutes). The record is from RNAcentral.
CGCCUGCGGCGGACCCGGCAGAGCGCAUAUCCCGUCAUAUCCGGAGAAAAUUCGGCAUAACGGGGCUUCGCAGGCAGCAGCGCUUUGUACGGCCCGGUACAUCCCGGAAUUUUCCGGGCUUUAAUGCAUUC